UACGUAGGGGGCAAGCGUUGUCCGGAAUCAUUGGGCGUAAAGCGCUCGUAGGCGGUUCGGCAAGUCUGCAAUGAAAGACCCGGGCUCAACUCGGGGAACGGUGUGGAUACUACCGAUCUUGAGGCAAUCAGAGGAUGAUGGAAUUCCCGGUGUAGCGGUGAAAUGCGUAGAGAUCGGGAGGAACACCAGUGGCGAAGGCGGCUACCUGGACCAGCAUUGACACUCAAGCGCGAAAGCGUGGGGAGCAAACAGG
Molecule: ribosomal RNA, 253 nt
Filed under: uncultured bacterium
Lineage: Bacteria
Description: partial 16S ribosomal RNA
Rfam family: Bacterial small subunit ribosomal RNA
Source: RNAcentral